AUUCUUUUAUAGUUCAUAAGUGUGAUGAUUGGGUUUUCACACUCAUGUGAGAUACAUCUCCCUCAAACCUUAUUAGGCAUUAGUACAUUACUCAUCUGAUG
Small nucleolar RNA from Lemur catta (Ring-tailed lemur), 101 nucleotides. RefSeq annotates it as small nucleolar RNA U13. The record is from RefSeq and is a predicted model, not a curated record. The transcript has a single exon. Lineage: Eukaryota; Metazoa; Chordata; Mammalia; Primates; Lemuridae.